RNAcentral lists this ribosomal RNA (860 nucleotides) under uncultured bacterium. RNAcentral describes it as "bacterial SSU rRNA". It matches the Rfam family "Bacterial small subunit ribosomal RNA", at positions 8 to 916 of the family's 1533-position model. The record is from RNAcentral.
AGAGUUUGAUCCUGGCUCAGAGCGAACGCUGGCGGCAGGCCUAACACAUGCAAGUCGAACGAACCCUUCGGGGUUAGUGGCGGACGGGUGAGUAACACGUGGGAACGUACCUUUAGGUUCGGAACAACACAGGGAAACUUGUGCUAAUGCCGAAUGUGCCCUUCGGGGGAAGGAUUUAUCGCUUUAGAGCGGCCCGCGUCUGAUUAGCUUGUUGGUGAGGUAAAGGCUCACCAAGGCUUCGAUCAGUAGCUGGUCUGAGAGGAUGAUCAGCCACACUGGGACUGAGACACGGCCCAGACUCCUACGGGAGGCAGCAGUGGGGAAUCUUGCGCAAUGGGCGAAAGCCUGACGCAGCCAUGCCGCGUGAAUGAUGAAGGUCUUAGGAUUGUAAAAUUCUUUCACCGGGGAAGAUAAUGACGGUACCCGGAGAAGAAGCCCCGGCUAACUUCGUGCCAGCAGCCGCGGUAAUACGAAGGGGGCUAGCGUUGCUCGGAUUUACUGGGCGUAAAGGGCGCGUAGGCGGACAGUUUAGUCAGAGGUGAAAGCCCGGGGCUCAACCCCGGAAUAGCCUUUGAUACUGGUUGUCUUGAGUUUGGGAGAGGUGUGCGGAACUCCGAGUGUAGAGGUGAAAUUCGUAGAUAUUCGGAAGAACACCAGUGGCGAAGGCGGCACACUGGCCCAAUACUGACGCUGAGGCGCGAAAGCGUGGGGAGCAAACAGGAUUAGAUACCCUGGUAGUCCACGCCGUAAACGAUGAUUGCUAGUUGUCGGCACGCAUGCGUGUCGGUGACGCAGCUAACGCAUUAAGCAAUCCGCCUGGGGAGUACGGUCGCAAGAUUAAAACUCAAAGGAAUUGACGG